GUCGCCAGGGUCGAGCCGUCCCGUUUGUUCGGUGGUUCGGUGGUCGGGGUGGCCUUGGAUGUUGGGAUUCUGGACUCCGUUCUUUUCUCCUCCGGUGUUACGUGAGCGCUUCAUUCACUUUGGAAAGCAAAGAGGAUGCCCUGAACGCUGAGGGGAGGGAUUUGAUAGAGACCUCCCACUUAGACUCUCUCUCUGGGUAAAGUCUAACUGUUUCCAACUGCUGCCAGGGGACGCUUCUCUGCCGAUGACUGUUUAAGGCACUGAUCU
Long non-coding RNA from Arvicola amphibius (Eurasian water vole), 267 nucleotides. RefSeq lists it as uncharacterized. NCBI's taxonomy places the organism in Eukaryota, Metazoa, Chordata, Mammalia, Rodentia, Cricetidae. The transcript has 2 exons. The record is from RefSeq and is a predicted model, not a curated record.